AGAGUUUGAUCCAGGAUCAGGAUGAACGCUAGCGGCAGGCUUAAUACCCCCUUUACGAACGGUAAGUUUGGUAGCAAUACUGAACCUAGAGUGUCGUACGGGUGCGUAACACGUAUGCAACCUACCUUUUACAGGAGUAUAGCUCCCCGAAAGGGGAAUUAACCCUCCAUAAUAUCAUUGGAUGGCAUCAUUUGAUGAUUAAAACUGAGGUGGUAAAAAAUGGGCAUGCGUUUGAUUAGUUAGUUGGCAGUGUAACGGACUACCAAGACGAUGAUCAAUAGGGGACCUGAGAGGGUGAUCCCCCACACUGGCACUGAGAUACGGGCCAGACUCCUACGGGAGGCAGCAGUAGGGAAUAUUGGACAAUGGGUGAGAGCCUGAUCCAGCCAUGCCGCGUGCAGGAAGAAGGCGUUAUGCGUUGUAAACUGCUUUUGCCAGGGGAUAAAACGGUUCUGCGGAACUAAUUGAAGGUACCUGGUGAAUAAGCCACGGCUAACUACUUGCCAGCAGCCGCGGUAAU
Molecule: ribosomal RNA, 520 nt
Filed under: uncultured Sphingobacteriales bacterium
Lineage: Bacteria; Pseudomonadati; Bacteroidota; Sphingobacteriia; Sphingobacteriales
Description: bacterial SSU rRNA
Rfam family: Bacterial small subunit ribosomal RNA
Source: RNAcentral